AGCGAACGCUGGCGGCAGGCUUAACACAUGCAAGUCGAACGCCCCGCAAGGGGAGUGGCAGACGGGUGAGUAACACGUGGGAACGUACCCUUUGGUUCGGAAUAACUUGGGGAAACUCAAGCUAAUACCGGAUAAGCCCUUAUGGGGAAAGGUUUACUGCCGAAGGAUCGGCCCGCGUCUGAUUAGCUAGUUGGUGAGGUAACGGCUCACCAAGGCGACGAUCAGUAGCUGGUUUGAGAGGAUGAUCAGCCACCCUGGGACUGAGACACGGCCCAGACUCCUGCGGGAGGCAGCAGUGGGGAAUAUUGGACAAUGGGGGCAACCCUGAUCCAGCCAUGCCGCGUGAGUGAUGAAGGCCUUAGGGUUGUAAAGCUCUUUUACCCGGGACGAUAAUGACUGUACCGGAAGAAUAAGCCCCGGCUAACUUCGUGCCAGCCGCCGCCGUAA
RNAcentral lists this ribosomal RNA (447 nucleotides) under uncultured bacterium. RNAcentral's name for it is "partial 16S ribosomal RNA". It matches the Rfam family "Bacterial small subunit ribosomal RNA", at positions 29 to 523 of the family's 1533-position model. The record is from RNAcentral.